GAUCAACGCUGGCGGCGUGCCUAAUGCAUGCAAGUCGAACGGGGUCGCCUUCGGGCGGCUCACGUGGCGGACGGGUGAGGAACACGUGGGCGAUCUGCCCCGAGGUGGGGGAUAGCCACCAGAAAUGGUGGGUAAGACCGCAUAAGCUCGCUGGAUUACGGUCCGGUGAGGAAAACCUUUUCGGAGGUGCCUUGGGAGGAGCCUGCGGCGGAUUAGCUAGUUGGUGGGGUAACGGCUUACCAAGGCGAUGAUCCGUAGCUGGUCUGAGAGGAUGGCCAGCCACAGGGGAACUGAGACACGGUCCCCACUCCUACGGGAGGCAGCAGCAAGGAAUUUUCCGCAAUGGGCGAAAGCCUGACGGAGCAACGCCGCGUGGGGGAUGACGCUUUUCGGAGUGUAAACCCCUUUUCUCAGGGAAGAACACAAUGACGGUACCUGAGGAAUAAGGACCGGCUAACUACGUG
This 464-nucleotide ribosomal RNA is filed under the name uncultured organism. Its description in RNAcentral is "bacterial SSU rRNA". It matches the Rfam family "Bacterial small subunit ribosomal RNA", at positions 28 to 507 of the family's 1533-position model. The record is from RNAcentral.